RNAcentral lists this long non-coding RNA (251 nucleotides) under Sorghum bicolor (sorghum). RNAcentral's name for it is "long non-coding RNA (SBIC_LNC001529)". The record is from RNAcentral. Lineage: Eukaryota; Viridiplantae; Streptophyta; Magnoliopsida; Poales; Poaceae.
CAAGCUUGGGAAACCUGCAAAUAAGGCCUUAUUUAGAUGCAAAUUUUUUUUUAAAGUUUGACACUGUAGUAUUUUUUUUAUUUAACAAACAUUGUCUAACCAUGGACUAACUAGGUUUAAAAUAUUCGUCUCGUGAUUUACAGAUAAACUGUAUAAUUAGUUAUUUUUUUACUCUUUAUUUAAUGCUUCAUGCAUGCGUCCAAAGAUUCGAUGUGAUGGGGAAUGUUGUAAAGUUUUAGAAUUUUAGGUUU